This 158-nucleotide ribosomal RNA is filed under the name uncultured Lactobacillus sp. RNAcentral's name for it is "partial 16S ribosomal RNA". It matches the Rfam family "Bacterial small subunit ribosomal RNA", at positions 339 to 489 of the family's 1533-position model. Lineage: Bacteria; Bacillati; Bacillota; Bacilli; Lactobacillales; Lactobacillaceae. The record is from RNAcentral.
UUACGGGAGGCAGCAGUAGGGAAUCUUCCACAAUGGACGCAAGUCUGAUGGAGCAACGCCGCGUGAGUGAAGAAGGUUUUCGGAUCGUAAAGCUCCUGUUGUUGGUGAAGAAGGAUAGAGGUAGUAACUGGCCUUAUUUGACGGUAAUCAACCAGAAA